GGAUUGCAGCUCAGUGGUAGAGCACUUGCCUACUAUGUGGGAAGUGCUGGGUUCGAUUCUCAGCACUGCA
Molecule: transfer RNA, 70 nt
Filed under: Marmota monax (woodchuck)
Lineage: Eukaryota; Metazoa; Chordata; Mammalia; Rodentia; Sciuridae
Description: tRNA.Ser
Source: RNAcentral